RNAcentral lists this ribosomal RNA (499 nucleotides) under uncultured Glomeromycotina. RNAcentral describes it as "partial small subunit ribosomal RNA". It matches the Rfam family "Eukaryotic small subunit ribosomal RNA", at positions 591 to 1092 of the family's 1831-position model. The record is from RNAcentral. Lineage: Eukaryota; Fungi; Glomeromycota.
CCAAUAGCGUAUAUUAAAGUUGUUGCAGUUAAAAAGCUCGUAGUUGAAUUUCGGGAUCAGUACGCUGGUCGUGCCUCCGGUACGUACUGGUGUCACUGGUUCCUCCCUUCUGAAGAACCAUCAUGCUAUUAAUUUAGUGUGGUGGGAAAUCAGGACUGUUACUUUGAAAAAAUUAGAGUGUUUAAAGCAGGCUCACGCUUGAAUACAUUAGCAUGGAAUAAUGAAAUAGGACGUUGAUCCUAUUUUGUUGGUUUCUAGGAUUGACGUAAUGAUUAAUAGGGAUAGUUGGGGGCAUUAGUAUUCAAUUGUCAGAGGUGAAAUUCUUGGAUUUAUUGAAGACUAACUACUGCGAAAGCAUUUGCCAAGGAUGUUUUCAUUAAUCAAGGACGAAAGUUAGGGGAUCGAAGACGAUCAGAUACCGUCGUAGUCUUAACCAUAAACUAUGCCGACUAGGGAUCGGAUGAUGUUAAUUUUUUAAUGACUCAUUCGGCGCCUUACG